CGCCCAACCGCCCAGAAAGGAGUGAGGCAGGAGGCGGGGGCAAGGCGCGCAAGCGCGGAAGGAGGGGACGCGGCGCGCAACCGCCAGGGAGGCUGGAUUGGCCCGCGGAGACAGAGGCCGCGGCGCGCAGGAGGGGCGGCGGCCGCCGGCACUCUGUUCCCUUGAAGAUUCAAUCUCCUGUGUGACUCCUGCAAAUACUGGGAUCUUUUUAGAAUUUCCUCUCUAAGAGCCAUUCACAAAGUGGUGAGUUCAUUUGCCCACAGUCCACAUGGCAGCCAAUAGCAAAGCCAAGCAGCAGCUGUGCCUGGGUCUCCUUCUCCUGGGAGCCCAGGAAUAAAUUAUUCAAAAAAUAAUUAGCAAAAAGCUUUACCUUGUUUUAUUUAUUUAGUUGGUGA
RNAcentral lists this long non-coding RNA (395 nucleotides) under Saimiri boliviensis boliviensis (Bolivian squirrel monkey). Its description in RNAcentral is "lncRNA (ENSSBOG00000036647.1)". Lineage: Eukaryota; Metazoa; Chordata; Mammalia; Primates; Cebidae. The record is from RNAcentral.